UGGGGAAUAUUGGACAAUGGGCGCAAGCCUGAUCCAGCCAUGCCGCGUGUGUGAAGAAGGCCUUUUGGUUGUAAAGCACUUUAAGCGAGGAGGAGGCUCCUAUAGUUAAUACCUAUAGUGAGUGGACGUUACUCGCAGAAUAAGCACCGGCUAACUCUGUGCCAGCAGCCGCGGUAAUACAGAGGGUGCAAGCGUUAAUCGGAUUUACUGGGCGUAAAGCGUGCGUAGGCGGCUUUUUAAGUCGGAUGUGAAAUCCCUGAGCUUAACUUAGGAAUUGCAGUCGAGACUGGGAAGCUAGAGUAUGGGAGAGGAUGGUAGAAUUCCAGGUGUAGCGGUGAAAUGCGUAGAGAUCUGGAGGAAUACCGAUGGCGAAGGCAGCCAUCUGGCCUAAUACUGACGCUGAGGUACGAAAGCAUGGGGAGUAAACA
RNAcentral lists this ribosomal RNA (428 nucleotides) under uncultured prokaryote. Its description in RNAcentral is "bacterial SSU rRNA". It matches the Rfam family "Bacterial small subunit ribosomal RNA", at positions 355 to 774 of the family's 1533-position model. The record is from RNAcentral.